CACCGGCGGCCCGAGUGGUAACCGACUUUAUUGGGUUUAAAGGGCCCGUAGCCGGCUUAUUAAGUCUCUUGGGAAAUCUGGCGGCUUAACCGUCAGGCGCCCAAGAGAUACUGGUAAGCUUGGGACCGGGAGAGGUGGGAGGUACUCCAGGGGUAGGGGUGAAAUCUCGUAAUCCUUGGGGGACCACCGAUGGCGAAGGCAUCCCACCAGAACGGGUCCGACGGUGAGGGACGAAAGCUGGGGGCUCAAA
This 250-nucleotide ribosomal RNA is filed under the name uncultured bacterium. Its description in RNAcentral is "partial 16S ribosomal RNA". It matches the Rfam family "Archaeal small subunit ribosomal RNA", at positions 474 to 723 of the family's 1478-position model. The record is from RNAcentral.